RNAcentral lists this non-coding RNA (667 nucleotides) under Roseibium sp. TrichSKD4. RNAcentral's name for it is "Bacterial small subunit ribosomal RNA". It matches the Rfam family "Bacterial small subunit ribosomal RNA", at positions 173 to 739 of the family's 1533-position model. The record is from Rfam by way of RNAcentral. Lineage: Bacteria; Pseudomonadati; Pseudomonadota; Alphaproteobacteria; Hyphomicrobiales; Stappiaceae.
UCUUUUCAUGUGCCUGAACACAAACAAGGAAAAGCUGUCCGGCGAGUGCCAGAACGUGGUCACCAAGUUCGAAGAACGCUUGGCCAACUAGCCGUUGGUCAGACUUCAGAACUUAGAAAAAAGCAGGGCCGGAUCCCCCACACUGGUACUGAGACAGGGACCAGACUCCUACGGGAGGCAGCAGUGAGGAAUAUUGGUCAAUGGUCGGAAGACUGAACCAGCCAUGCCGCGUGCAGGAAGAAUGCCUUAUGGGUUGUAAACUGCUUUUAUAUGGGAAGAAUAAGGUGUACGAGUACAUUGAUGACGGUACCAUAUGAAUAAGCAUCGGCUAACUCCGUGCCAGCAGCCGCGGUAAUACGGAGGAUGCGAGCGUUAUUCGGAAUCAUUGGGUUUAAAGGGUCUGUAGGCGGGCUAUUAAGUCAGGGGUGAAAGGUUUCAGCUUAACUGAGAAAUUGCCUUUGAUACUGGUAGUCUUGAAUAUCUGUGAAGUUCUUGGAAUGUGUAGUGUAGCGGUGAAAUGCUUNNNNNNNNNNNNNNNNNNNNUCGAUGGGGACCAUGUGCACACGUCCUGUGGGGAGACGUGGCGAUUGGCAAGCAGCAAAUUUAAAGCUGCGCCAGCGGCCACAAGGCGUCCAAGAAACGCCUCAUGCCCCCGACAAACUCGCAA